Molecule: ribosomal RNA, 316 nt
Filed under: uncultured eukaryote
Lineage: Eukaryota
Description: partial 18S ribosomal RNA
Rfam family: Eukaryotic small subunit ribosomal RNA
Source: RNAcentral
CCCUUAGAUGUUCUGGGCCGCACGCGCGCUACACUGACGAAUGCAACGAGCUUAUAACCUUGGCCGAAAGGUCUGGGUAAUCUCCAAAUUUCGUCGUGAUGGGGAUAGAUUAUUGCAAUUAUUAAUCUUCAACGAGGAAUGCCUAGUAAGCGCAAGUCAUCAGCUUGCGUUGAUUACGUCCCUGCCCUUUGUACACACCGCCCGUCGCUCCUACCGAUUUCGAGUGGUUCGGUGAACCUUUCGGACCGGCAAUGCCUCGUGUUGCGCCGGAAAGUCAAGUAAACCAUAUCACUUAGAGGAAGGAGAANUCGUAACA